GUUAGAAAAUCAGCCGGAAUUGACAAUAAUUUGAUAGUUCAUGCUUGAGAGAGCUCCCAAGUGGGGAUCUGAGGCCGGAGAUUGACUCUCGUGACGAUCCCGGGGAGAUGGGCGGUGGGCAGGCUCGCCUGACCUUGAAACCGUCCCCCGAGCCCAGACGCCCAUAAUCAAUGCAGACUCUCUGCCCCCAGGGGCCCCCACGAGCAAAGGGGAAAAUGAAGAUUCACAGAAAAGCCGCACAAGUGGAUUUUUCAAUCGGCUUCUCAAAUGCCUGCUAAGUGGCGGGCCCGAGCCGCAUGCAUACUGCAUGAGCGCAGGACAAGGACAAUCACCGGGGACAGAGCGCCGCGCCUCCUCCCUGGCCUGCUGCAAGACUGCUGGUGGGCGAUGUGAGCUGCAGCCCCCUUAACCCCCGGCACCUGCCGUCUGGACCAAACACAGAGACUGCAGCCCACCCCCAGCAUCCAGCUCGCACUCUCCCUGAGUCCAGGGCCCCCCAUGUCCGGCACCCCCAAGUCCAGUGGCAGGACACCGGCCGCUUGGGACAGUGACCAUUAGGAGGUGCUCCCUGCGUGGAGUGAUUAGGCCCCUCCUCGCCAUGUCCUGGGGCUCCGGCCCCUGCAGGAACGCAUCUGCCUCACCGCUCUGUUUUCUGUGAGUCUGGGCCCAAGUAGUUUCCUUGACUUCAGUCCCUCUGUCCUCUAGUGUCCGGUGUCCUGGGGCCUCUCGGGGACCCACCUCCUUUCCUCUCCCUCCUCCAUCUGGCGCCGCCUUCUUCGGAAUGCAAGCUUUGUGCCCUGUGAGUGUGAGUCUGCCUGCACACGGCUGAGUGCCUGUAGUGUGAAUGUCUGGGAGUGCUCACAUGUGUGUGUGUGACAUGUGUGUGCACGCACACACAUGGACAGGCUGGGAUCCAGGUGACCAAGCUUCUCUAACCUGCCACACGCUGAGCCCCAUUUGCCUCGGGCAGUUUGGGGGUCUGUCCUGCCUGCCUCCACACCGCACCCCAGCAGGACAUGUCAUCAGCAUCAGAAAUGGGGUGUCAUCAGCUGGGCGCUUUAGAGCCUCAGCAUCUCAGGUGAGACGCAGGUGGCGGGCGGCACCUGCCCAUCCUCUCGGCCCUGGGAGCUCCAGGCAGACGUGCCACCUGUGAAGAGCGAGCCCGGCUGGCGGGGAAGCCCUGCUAAGACUCGGCAGGUGCCCUGGGACCAUGCAUUCUGGCUGUAGGAACACGGGAUCAGGGGGCCCAGCUGCAGCUCAGCCAGCACCCCUGAGGCCUGGCCCCAGUGUGACUUCAGGGGGAUGACCCGUCAUGUUGUGACUCGUCUGUGGGAAGCCUGGCUCUGACAGCAGAGAGAGCUGCCCAUGGAGGGACACAGGGCAGCUGCUGGGCAGGGCCAGGCUGAGGACCGCCCCAGGAGAUGGUGCAGCCGCCCCCUGACCUGGGUCUAGAGGGCCCUGCUGCUCAGUCCCCUGAAGAGUCAGUUCAGGCCAGGUUGGAGCGCCUGCGGUGAGGCUCCGGCUGAAUCACGAAGUCACUCCGGUGACCCUUCCUGGCCCCUGCUUCCUGCUGGAGUCCGGCUGCUCCCCACCCAGGCAGGCCCCAGGCUGGCAGCUGCAGGAAGACGGCCGUUAUCCCGGUCCACCCCCCUGCCCCUCAGGUUUGGGGAUGCAGAGUUGGACACAAUGGAGCAGACGAGCUAACUGAGCCCCCCACCCCUCCGGUCUGCGCUCACCCGGGCGUCCACGCCGGUCCAUCCUUGGUCCACCCCAGGGCACCCUCAGCCCCACCACGCUGUGGGUGAGACAUGGGGGUGGGACGUCUCCACCCUCCCGGCUGCCACCUGCAAACGUCUCUGGACACCUCCUCACCGCUCUGUAAAUCCAGACUAACAGCCCGGACAUGGGAAUGAGGCGGGGUGAAGUUAGACCAUCAAUCUGGCCUCAAGGAACACAGAUGUUGCUUGUUCUGAAAAGAGGCUGGUCCACCCGGAAUGUUCUAUUCACAGAGGCCAGCUGACACCCCCCAGGGCUCCACUCAACAGAGCCAGGGUACCUCCUGUGGGCAGGUGGGGAGCUUUGGGACCUGGAAGGGGGACUGUUUCUGCUGUUACAGGGAGCAAAACGCUGAGGGUCACACGGUCUCAAGGGAGGGGCUGUGGACAGCAGUCAGGAGGCCCACGACACUCCAGACAAGAACGACGGGGCUCCGGGUGGCGUGCAGUGACAGAAAGAGUGAGAAACAGCCCGGACCUUGAUGUAUGUUGAAGGCAGAGUUGACCUGAAUUUUCCGAUAGAUUAGAUGGGCGGACGACAGCUGAGAGAAGGUCAAGGUAGGCUCUGAAGAUUUUUAACUAAGGUCAAGCAGCAGCUGGGCUGGCAGGUCUGACAUGGUGACAGUUCCGGCCCAGCGGAGGGUCAGGAGCACGAGCGGAGAGAAGCUCAGAAGAGACAAGGAAGCCUCACGCGACACAUGCCGUGUCCAGUGACCCGGCCUGCAAGCCAUUGCAUCGUCCUCACCCUGAGGAAGGAAGCUACAGACACGGGGCCCUUCUAAGUUCACAAAAGCCUUGCUUACCGGUUAUCUUCGCUUCUGAGACUUAAGCCAUAUUAGCACCACCUGGGGCUUCCCGAUGGCUCAGCAGUAAAGAAGCUCACUGCCAAAGCAGGAGGCGAAUGAGACGUGGGUUUGAUCCCUGGGUCGGGAAGAUCCCCUGGAGGAGGAAAUGACAACACACUCCAGUAUUCCUGCCCAGGAGAUCCCAUGGACAGAGGAGCCUGGUGGGCUACAGUCCGUGGGUCGCACAGAGUCACACGUGCCUGAGCAGCUGAGCGCACACACAACACCAUUUUACAGACGAGGAAGCUGAUCCCAGAGGGGUUAUGACGCCCUCAAAUGCUCGUGGCCAGUGUUAUCAAGGUGAGAUGGGACCCAAGUGUUCUCACUUCCAUCUUGAUGAGUUCAGGGAAGUGGCUGAGUGAGGGAAGUCUGGAUUGCUCUUCCAGCUUGAUCCCAAAAGACCUUCAGCUUUGCUUGUGACCUCAACAAGCAUAGAGAGGCAUUUGGGUGGCCUUCAGCUUUUGGCAAAUAUAAAUAGAGCUUCUGUGACAGGUUUGGGUGUGAAGUCUUUAUUUCUCUGGGAUAAAUGUCCAGGGAUGCAAUCUUGAGGUCCUAGGAUAAUUGUACAUUCAGUUCUUUAAUGAAGCUGAGUUUCCAAGAUGGUGGAGUACAAAGACGCUGAAUUCACCUCCUCUCAUGGGCACACACAAAUACACUAUUUACAGAACAACUGUUGAUGAAAAAGACUGGAACCUACCAGGACUGAUCUUCUAUAACUAAAGGAAAGAAACAGAGAAUGCCAUGCUGCUUCCCAGAGUGGCUGCACCAUCCUAAAUUAACACCAGCCACGUGCCCGGGAUUCUCGGCGUCCACACAGCACGUUGCAAGUCUUCGGCCAUUCUGACCGAUCCGCCUCAGAUCCUCAGCACACUGUCCGUGGGGUCCUGGCCGUCCGUGCGUGCAUCUGCCGUCCCCGCUGAUGCCGAGCUGCCACCUGGUGAGGACGCCCUCCUCCUCUCCUCCUUUCCUGCCGCAGCUGCUUCCUCACGAAGCAGAACGGAAGCACCAUCCAGCCUCGCUGUGGUGGAUUCCUCUGAGAGUGGUGGGAAGAAAUCUUUCAAGGGCCAACACUUUACUCACCCACGUCCCCCAGGUGACAAAGAUGGCAGACUUCAGUCUCCUCCCCUCCAUCUCCGUGUCCAUCUUCAUCCCCAAGUUCUGUCUCCGUCUCUUUCUUUCUCUCUUUCAGACGACCCAUCUUAGAAUCAGAAUGCAUACAGAGAAAGUUUGCCUUGAAAGUCUGACUUGAAGUCAGAUUCUUCUGACAUAAGCUUAGUUUGAUUUGCCAGGUAAGUUGGAGAAUGAUGACUGCCCUCGCCAAUUAUGAUGUUUUCCUUAAACCCCACAAAUGACAGACGCAGCUCUCAGAAAGCACACGCAGAGUACACACAGGCACGCCUCUUUAUACUGGGCUUUGCUUUCUUGUGCUUCACAGAUAUUGCUUUUUUAAUAAGUUGAAGGCCUGUGGCCACCCUGCACUGUGAGACGACGCUUAAAUUUUUCAGCAACAAAGUAUUUUUAAUUAAGGAAUAUACAGGUUUUUUUUAGCCUUAAUGCUAUUACAAAAUUCCUAAUAGGCUACAGUAUAGUGUAAAUGUAACUUUUAUAUACACUGGGAAGCAAAAGAAUUCAUGUGACUCCCUUCAUUUUAAUAUUCACUUAAUUGCAACAGUCUGGAACCAAAACCAUAGUGUCUCUGAGGUGGCCUGUGAACAAAAUCCAGCAUCAUAGUUUACAUUCUACGUCAUUAGACAUACAGUAACAAAUCUGGAUUUCGACUUGAAAACUUUGGAGACAUUUCAUAGAUUUUUGAAGUCAUUCCGGAGGAAGAAGAACUAAAAAUUUAAAGACCACUAAUCUAAAAGUACAGUCACACGGACACACAAACAGGAUUGCUUCUGCCAAAAAUACCAGUCCAUCCUAAAGGAAAUCAACCCUGAAUAUUCACUGGAAGGGCUGAUGCUGAAGCUGAAGCCCCAGUACGUUGGC
Long non-coding RNA from Bubalus bubalis (water buffalo), 4609 nucleotides. RefSeq lists it as uncharacterized. The transcript is spliced from 3 exons. Lineage: Eukaryota; Metazoa; Chordata; Mammalia; Artiodactyla; Bovidae. The record is from RefSeq and is a predicted model, not a curated record.